This 204-nucleotide unclassified non-coding RNA is filed under the name Hevea brasiliensis (rubber tree). Lineage: Eukaryota; Viridiplantae; Streptophyta; Magnoliopsida; Malpighiales; Euphorbiaceae. The record is from RNAcentral.
CUGAAAUCUGUCCAAAAUAAUGAAGGUCAGACUAUUACUGGCGCAAGAUGAUCAGCUGCCCAUCAGCUGUGAGCUAAGUGGCAUUAUCCCACCAGCUGAAGGAACAGUACUGCUGCAACGUGGUAAUUGUAAAUAUAAAGGGCUAAGAAUCCAGAUGGAUGAAGUGAUUUUAACAGUCUCCUGCUUAACUGCGAUUGUAAUCUU